UGGGGAAUAUUGGACAAUGGGGGCAACCCUGAUCCAGCAAUGCCGCGUGUGUGAAGAAGGCCUUCGGGUUGUAAAGCACUUUAGGCUGGGAGGAAGAUGUAUUGUUUAAGAGAUGAUACAUUUGACUGUACCGGCAGAAUAAGCACCGGCUAACUCUGUGCCAGCAGCCGCGGUAAUACAGAGGGUGCGAGCGUUAAUCGGAGUUACUGGGCGUAAAGGGCGCGUAGGCGGUUUUUUAAGCUGGUUGUGAAAUCCCUGGGCUUAACCUAGGAACUGCAACCAUGACUGGAAAGCUAGAGUACUGUAGAGGGUAGUGGAAUUUCCGGUGUAGCGGUGAAAUGCGUAGAGAUCGGAAGGAACACCAGUGGCGAAGGCGGCUACCUGGACAGAUACUGACGCUGAGGCGCGAGAGCGUGGGGAGCAAACAG
This 428-nucleotide ribosomal RNA is filed under the name uncultured bacterium. Its description in RNAcentral is "bacterial SSU rRNA". It matches the Rfam family "Bacterial small subunit ribosomal RNA", at positions 355 to 775 of the family's 1533-position model. The record is from RNAcentral.